GAUCCGCCCCCGCUCCACAGUAGAGAUCAAUUCUAGAACGUGGUCAGCUUCAUUGGUGCAGGUAGUCAGGCUCAUGGGAUCAGGUGUUUUACCAGCUGAAAUUAUGGUGUUCUGUAGGCUACAAUAGAAGUGGAAAAUACUUUGAAGCAGUAAUUAUAUGUAAACUAUAAUUGCUGUUUUAAAAGGUGACAACAGGGAUAGUGUGUGAACAUUGUGAUCUUCGGUGUCUGAGUUCGGACGUCUGCACUCAUUGUUAAACAGAGUGUAGAAACUGAUUUGCAAUUCUAAAUCAGUACAUACAUUUCGCUCACUUAAAAUACAAUAUAAACUAUAAUCUUUAAAUAUUACGUGAAAAGAGCACAAGCGCGACCGUGACAAUUAUAAAAGCUUCAUAACCCGCCCCCAUCACUGCGUGAGGUUGCGUGCGCGGGUGUUUAGAGGCGGUAUCUUACAAUUGUUUGCAUUUUAGAGGUAAAUACCCGACACGAUAGUCAGCUAACAGCAAAUCAUUUGAUCUAGGGCCUGCAACACCGCCGACAUGAUUUAGUGAUAUCUGAAGAAUGAAUGCGUAAAAGACGUCGAAUGUCAAUGGAUAAAAACGAAAAGUAAAAAUGGAGCAAGUAAGACGGACCAAUUAACUUUAGAGCUCUAAGGGCAAAGUUUCAAGAGGAAGCAGCUCUGGCCCAAUCCAUGAACAGACCUGCUAUUGCUCAGAAGCCAAUACGCCUACCACCCCCUGGAGGUCACUGUGGACCUCUGGUGACCUCCAUGCAUUCGGCAGUGGAGAACAAGACACCUGUGGUCCCCCGGGUCAUUUUUAGGGAUGGAACCAAAGGUUUUCUGGGCAAACGCCCCAUCUCUUUCCCCCCACACUUCCUUCGCACCUCCCCUCCACAACAGAAUGUUGGAUUGGAGAGCACAUCGAAGCAGUCCUUCAGAGACAGACACAUGCCUCUAGUGCUGCCUGUACUGCCUAAAGAGAAGAAAACUGACACAGACUAUUUAGAAGGAGCACCGCACCCAAUGAAGGGCAACAAGAGGGACAUUCUGCUUCCCUUCAAUUCGACCAAAGCCUUUAAUGUUGUUGAGGAAACAAGCAAAGAUCAAGUAUGUGCUGAGCCUACCACCAAAACUCUGGGGGAGGAGAAACAGAAAACAGAAGAUGGAGUCUCUCCUCAUGGGGACCGUUCCACCACAGAAAGGCCACCUUCCAGUCCAGACCAGACCGUCACCCCCCCGUUUGCUGAUCCAGGUGGGGACUCUUUACCUGGGGCUGGGGGAACCCAGUUCUUCGACCAACUGUACUCACUGGAGAAAGUUAGGAAAAGGUUUUUGCCCCGGAAACUUUUGUUGUCUACUCGGUCUAAGAGCUUGCGGUCCAAUGGAGUCCUCCUCCCAGAGAGUAACUCUGUUGUGACGGGGAAACAUCCUGAGGCGGAACUCCCUCACCCUCAUCCAGUCUGUCUCCCACACAUUGCCUUUGUUGCCGCCCGUCCUUUUUCAAAGAUGAACGGCUAUUCACACAGUAAGAUAGGACGAGAAACUACUUUCAAAAGACAGUCUUCCCGGGAUCCUGUGGCUCUUCUGCCUGUGAUGUCUCAUGAACCUCCCCCUCAACCUCCAAGAAAGCCUCUACCUGUCUUGGCCUGUUCAGAGUAUUUACCAGUGAAGCCUCCAAGACCACCAUGCGUAGAUCUCAGCCAAUACCAGCUAACCACGGCUAUGGACAAAGAAAUUCCACCAGAAGUUGAGCAUGUUGCAUUUCACAAAUCUGAGCCCAAGGAGUCAUCUAUCAUCAAGCCUGAUCUUCAUGCUCCAGAAUUUCCAGACUUUGAAAAUUCAGAGGUGGAAAAUAUAGAAGACACCACUCUUGGUAUAACUUCUCUGGAAUUUGAGUCCAAAGAUCAUGGAAGCCCUGAAAUUCCAGCUCCACUUGGCUUUGGAAUUCUAGAUUUUGAAGACUUGCCGGUGUGUGAGACUUUGGAACUGGCAAGUUUAGAUCUGCAGGCAUUGAGCCUUAACAACUACAACUUGAUGUGUCCAGAUCCUCCAAUCCUGCCAGAACCUCCAUUCCUCCAUGACACUGAAAUCCUUCCUAAACCUUUGGUUCUUCCACAUUCACCAGUCCUUGAGGUCGAGGUUAAAAAUGAGGCAUUCCCAUCUCCUGUUCUAGAGCCUGAAAUGGUUGGCGCUGAGCUUGUGUCUGAUGAGCCUUCAGCCACUGAGUCAUCAGAUCAUGGUUCAGAGCAUGUCUUGAUUGGGCAAGUUCAACCACAGCCAAAUGUCUGUCAAGAAGAGAAUUACUACGAAGCCUGUAACAAUGUGUACGAGGAUGUUGAAAACAUCAACAAGUUCAUCACCGGUCAGAACUCCCGCAAGCGCAGAAGCAGUCCAAAGAAUCCAUAUGCUGUUUCCCAUCCAGAGAAGGAAGAACUUCGCAUGAAUCUUCGGCCUCGGCAUGCACGGUCUAGUAUUCCUAGACAACACAGUCUUUCAAAUCAUGCACAUGUACACAGUAAAGAGCGACAUUGUCUUGAGAACCAUGAUGACAAAGAGCAGAAGAAGAAAGAGAAGCACCGUCUUGAAAAGGAGAGGAAGGAACUAAAGGAGAGGGAAAAGAAAGAAAAUGAAAUGAAGAAGAAGUUCAAAAUAACUGGGAAGGAGGAGCCUUUGUACCACGCUAAGGUAAUGGUGGCUAGUAAGGUCCGCAAGAACGACCUGCUGGUGAAGAGCGGUGAAACAGUCAGCAUCAUCCGAACCACCAGCUGUCCCAAAGGCAAAUGGCUGGCCAGAGACAACAACCACAAGUAUGGCUACAUAUCAGUGAUGAAUGUGGAGCUGAAUAUAAAGGAAAUGUUGGAACUGGGGAAGAAGGCCUCUCAGGCUGCAGGAAGAGCUGCUCCAGAAGGAGAUAGCAUCAGCAUCGAGAGCAGAUCUUUUAAUCAUCCCCCCUUGCACACUAGCAGUUUCACAGAUGACAGUGAGGAGUGGACAGGUGAGGAUGAGACCCUGUCCAUUUCCAACACUGAAAGCCGCACUCACAACCGGACCAUCUCCAUGCCUGAGAUGCUAGUCUCUGCCCAUGCCAGUGCCCAGCAUAUUGUCAGUGAUCCCAUCCUUGAGGACCAACAUACACAACAUGAGGCUCUCCAGAAGUUAGCCGUCUUCUUUCAGCACAAAAAAGACAACUUCAGUGACCUUGCCGAAAAUGGAGAGCAAACCUGCACAAACAAAAACCCAAGUAAGUCCACAUCACUGAUUGUUCUGUGUGUAUGUCACCGUUUGGUGUGCACACGCUUGCAUGCACUCAAACACGGCACACUCAAAUGGUUCUAAGUCAGUCUUCAUUGGGUGAGGGAUGCGGCACAUACUGUAUGAAAUCCUAUUUGAUCAUUUAUGGUGUAUGUAAAGAUGAGUCAUGCAGUCUGCUCCUGUCCUUCUACAGGUUUCCCAUUUGCUGUUGAAGAACUGACUUACUUGGAUCAGGAGGUUGACUUCCCUGUGGAUGUGGCACUCCUCCCCCCUCCAGAGCUCUAUGCAGACACUCUAUGAUUAUUGGCAACUAGUCUGAGAGCUUCACAAAGGCAGAGCCAGUGAUGCAAGUAGGCUAAACCGUACACACACACAGAUCCCUCUCUCUCUACCUCAGUAAUGUAUAGUACCCCAGUGAUGUAUAGAUGCUUCUUUAUCAUUAAAGAUGAACACUUUCUUUGGUAAGAUAAGAUGUUCACAACGCUAUGAGGAAGGUCUUUCCAGAAUGUUCUGUGUGAUUGAUAGUAACUUUGUAGUCCUACCUGUGAUGUACUUGACAUGAUGUCUUUGGGAGUAAUAUUAGCUAUUGUGAACUGUAAACCUGUGGUUUUCUCCAGUGUUAAAGAUUUGUUUUGUGUGUUUCUGGAUGUUUGGUGAAGUUAUCCUAGUAGUAUUUUCAGUUGUACUGUUCUACACAGUUGUCUUGCCUCCAGUAGUGGGUCCCUGUUCAUGCACAAUGAGAUUUACCUGCACUAUACUGUAUAAGGACCAGUGUUUCGUCACCAUUCACUAGCACCUUGGUGGAAUUGUUAGCCUACAUGUUUUGUGGAUUGUUGGAUUGAUAACAUUUUCUGAGCUCUCUAGUACUUAAGUGUCGAUUUCAAUAAAUUCGUUUAA
Molecule: RNA transcript, 4149 nt
Organism: Osmerus eperlanus (European smelt)
Lineage: Eukaryota; Metazoa; Chordata; Actinopteri; Osmeriformes; Osmeridae
Exons: 19
Source: RefSeq, a predicted model, not a curated record